AGAGUUUGAUCCUGGCUCAGGACGAACGCUGGCGGCAUGCCUAAUACAUGCAAGUCGAACGCUUUGAUUUCACCGGGUGCUUGCACCCACCGAAGUCAAGGAGUGGCGGACGGGUGAGUAACACGUGGGUAACCUGCCCAUGAGUGGGGGAUAACAUUCGGAAACGGAUGCUAAUACCGCAUAUUUCUAAUCGCCUCCUGGCGAACUGAAAAAAGGUGGCUUCGGCUACCGCUUAUGGAUGGACCCGCGGCGUAUUAGCUAGUUGGUGAGGUAAUGGCUCACCAAGGCGAUGAUACGUAGCCGACCUGAGAGGGUGAUCGGCCACACUGGGACUGAGACACGGCCCAGACUCCUACGGGAGGCAGCAGUAGGGAAUCUUCCGCAAUGGACGAAAGUCUGACGGAGCAAUGCCGCGUGAGUGAAGAAGGUUUUCGGAUCGUAAAACUCUGUUGUUAGAGAAGAACAAGGAUGAGAGUAACUGCUCAUCCCCUGACGGUAUCUAACCAGAAAGCCACGGCUAACUACGUGCCAGCAGCCGCGGUAAUACGUAGGUGGCAAGCGUUGUCCGGAUUUAUUGGGCGUAAAGCGAGCGCAGGCGGCUUUUUAAGUCGGAUGUGAAAUCCCUGAGCUUAACUUAGGAAUUGCAUUCGAUACUGGGAAGCUAGAGUAUGGGAGAGGAUGGUGGAAUUCCAGGUGUAGC
RNAcentral lists this ribosomal RNA (700 nucleotides) under uncultured bacterium. Its description in RNAcentral is "bacterial SSU rRNA". It matches the Rfam family "Bacterial small subunit ribosomal RNA", at positions 8 to 679 of the family's 1533-position model. The record is from RNAcentral.